This 375-nucleotide ribosomal RNA is filed under the name uncultured bacterium. RNAcentral describes it as "bacterial SSU rRNA". It matches the Rfam family "Bacterial small subunit ribosomal RNA", at positions 918 to 1297 of the family's 1533-position model. The record is from RNAcentral.
GGCCCGCACAAGCGGUGGAGUAUGUGGUUUAAUUCGAUGCAACGCGAAGAACCUUACCAGGGUUUGACAUCCUGCGAAUCUCUUGGAAACGAGAGAGUGCCUUCGGGAACGCAGUGACAGGUGGUGCAUGGCUGUCGUCAGCUCGUGUCGUGAGAUGUUGGGUUAAGUCCCGCAACGAGCGCAACCCACGUCUUUAGUUGCCAGCAUUUAGUUGGGCACUCUAGAGAGACUGCCGGUGAUAAACCGGAGAAGGUGUGGAUGACGUCAAGUCAUCAUGCCCCUUACAUCUGGGCUACACACGUACUACAAUGCUACGGACAAAGGGCUGCAAGUUCGCGAGGACAAGCAAAUCCCAUAAACGUGGCUCAGUUCAGA